Molecule: transfer RNA, 71 nt
Filed under: Marmota monax (woodchuck)
Lineage: Eukaryota; Metazoa; Chordata; Mammalia; Rodentia; Sciuridae
Description: tRNA.Ala
Source: RNAcentral
GGGGUUGUGACUCAACGGUAGAGCGCUCGCCUAGCUUGUGUGAGGCCCUGGGUUCGAUCCUCAGCACCACA